RNAcentral lists this ribosomal RNA (421 nucleotides) under uncultured bacterium. RNAcentral's name for it is "bacterial SSU rRNA". It matches the Rfam family "Bacterial small subunit ribosomal RNA", at positions 355 to 776 of the family's 1533-position model. The record is from RNAcentral.
UGGGGAAUAUUGCACAAUGGGGGAAACCCUGAUGCAGCGACGCCGCGUGAGUGAAGAAGUAUUUCGGUACGUAAAGCUCUAUCAGCAGGGAAGAAAAAAAGUCCUUUGGACUUUGGACGGUACCUGACCAAGAAGCCCCGGCUAACUACGUGCCAGCAGCCGCGGUAAUACGUAGGGGGCAAGCGUUAUCCGGAUUUACUGGGUGUAAAGGGAGCGUAGACGGCAGCGCAAGUCUGGAGUGAAAUGCCGGGGCCCAACCCCGGAACUGCUUUGGAAACUGUGCAGCUGGAGUGCAGGAGAGGUAAGCGGAAUUCCUAGUGUAGCGGUGAAAUGCGUAGAUAUUAGGAGGAACACCAGUGGCGAAGGCGGCUUACUGGACUGUAACUGACGUUGAGGCUCGAAAGCGUGGGGAGCAAACAGG